Molecule: ribosomal RNA, 468 nt
Filed under: uncultured bacterium
Lineage: Bacteria
Description: partial 16S ribosomal RNA
Rfam family: Bacterial small subunit ribosomal RNA
Source: RNAcentral
GACGAACGCUGGCGGCGUGCUUAACACAUGCAAGUCGAACGGAAAGGCCCUGCUUGCGUGCGGUGCCCGAUUGGCGAUCGGGUGAGUAACACGUGAGUAACCUGCCCUUGACUUUGGUAUAACUUCAGGUAACUGGGGCUACUACCGGAUAGCAGCUGCUGCUGCAUGGUGAGGGGUGGAAAUUUUCGGCGGGUGGGGAUGGACUCGCGGCUUAUGAGCUUGUUGGUGGGGUAGUGGCUUACCCAGGAUGUGGCGGGUAGCCGGCCUGUGAGGGUGAACGGGCACAUUGGGACUGAGAUACGGACCAGACGCCUACGGGAGGCAGCAGGGGGGAAUAUUGCCCAAUGGGAGGAAGCCUGAUGCAGCAACGCCGCGUGCGGGAUGACGGCCUUCGGGGUGUAAACCGCUUUCGCCUGUGACGAAGCGUGAGUGACGGUAAUGGGUAAAGAAGCACCGGCUAACUACGUG